UUCCAGACUCCUACGGGAGGCAGCAGUGGGGAAUAUUGCACAAUGGGCGAAAGCCUGAUGCAGCAACGCCGCGUGAAGGAAGAAGGGUUUCGGCUCGUAAACUUCUAUCAACAGGGACGAAAGAAAUGACGGUACCUGAAUAAGAAGCCCCGGCUAACUACGUGCCAGCAGCCGCGGUAAUACGUAGGGGGCAAGCGUUAUCCGGAAUUACUGGGUGUAAAGGGAGCGUAGGCGGGAAGCCAAGUCAGCUGUGAAAACUACGGGCUUAACCUGUAGACUGCAGUUGAAACUGGCUUUCUUGAGUGAAGUAGAGGUUGGCGGAAUUCCGAGUGUAGCGGUGAAAUGCGUAGAUAUUCGGAGGAACACCGGUGGCGAAGGCGGCCAACUGGGCUUUAACUGACGCUGAGGCUCGAAAGUGUGGGGAGCAAACAGGAUUAGAUACCCGAGUACA
Molecule: ribosomal RNA, 451 nt
Filed under: uncultured bacterium
Lineage: Bacteria
Description: bacterial SSU rRNA
Rfam family: Bacterial small subunit ribosomal RNA
Source: RNAcentral